Molecule: ribosomal RNA, 502 nt
Filed under: uncultured bacterium
Lineage: Bacteria
Description: bacterial SSU rRNA
Rfam family: Bacterial small subunit ribosomal RNA
Source: RNAcentral
AGAGUUUGAUCAUGGCUCAGAUUGAACGCUGGCGGAAUGCUUUACACAUGCAAGUCGAACGGCAGCACGGGGCAACCUGGUGGCGAGUGGCGAACGGGUGAGUAAUACAUCGGAACGUGCCCAAUCGUGGGGGAUAACGUAGCGAAAGUUACGCUAAUACCGCAUACGAUCUACGGAUGAAAGCGGGGGAUCGCAAGACCUCGCGCGAUUGGAGCGGCCGAUGUCAGAUUAGGUAGUUGGUGGGGUAAAGGCUCACCAAGCCGACGAUCUGUAGCUGGUCUGAGAGGACGACCAGCCACACUGGGACUGAGACACGGCCCAGACUCCUACGGGAGGCAGCAGUGGGGAAUUUUGGACAAUGGGCGCAAGCCUGAUCCAGCCAUUCCGCGUGCAGGAUGAAGGCCUUCGGGUUGUAAACUGCUUUUGUACGGAACGAAACGGUCUGCCCUAAUACGGUGGGCUAAUGACGGUACCGUAAGAAUAAGCACCGGCUAACUACGUG